UAUUGUAUUUGGUACAACAAAAGUGAUGUAAUCAGGUCAGAUUCGGAAGAAAGCAGCCUCGUCGUCCUCCUUUUGUGUGUACCAUUUUUUUAUGAGGU
RNAcentral lists this signal recognition particle RNA (98 nucleotides) under Mollicutes bacterium. Its description in RNAcentral is "signal recognition particle sRNA small type". It matches the Rfam family "Bacterial small signal recognition particle RNA". Rfam says of the family: The signal recognition particle (SRP) is a universally conserved ribonucleoprotein involved in the co-translational targeting of proteins to membranes. The record is from RNAcentral. Lineage: Bacteria; Bacillati; Mycoplasmatota; Mollicutes.